This is a long non-coding RNA of Jatropha curcas, 693 nucleotides long. RefSeq lists it as uncharacterized. The record is from RefSeq and is a predicted model, not a curated record. Lineage: Eukaryota; Viridiplantae; Streptophyta; Magnoliopsida; Malpighiales; Euphorbiaceae.
CAAAAUUCUCUGCGGAUGUCAUUACUCAUUGGUUUCAUCACCUCCAUAUCUAUCCAUCUACUGCCAUUUCCAUUAUCUUCCCAUUUCAAAUCUUCUUCAACCCCUUUAAGGAUUUUAAAAUUAUUUUGAUAAAUUAUGCUGAACUUCAAGAAGGGCCCAAUUGGAUCCAUGUCACAGGCCCAAAAGCCUUCUCAAAUCACAAGGGAAACGUGUUUUGAGUUUUUAGCUUCUCUUUCUCUCUCCAAGUCCUGGGUUUUAUAUAGUUGCUAAUGGGGAAGAAAGGUUUUAAUUUCUUAAAAUUGAGCUCAAAAUCGAAAAACCCAUUUCAAGAAUUUUGCUAUUGUUUGCAAGAUGGUACUUUUCAUGGGAUUUAGUUUGCAGUGCUUAAUGGAUUUGGUAGUGGCAGGAGUUUCUUUAAUGAUCGGAUUAGGUAUUUUCGCUUUCAUUGCUUCCAUUCUUUGCUCUGCUGCUUUCCUUCACAACGCCAAGGACCUCUCUUGAAUUUUAUAUAAUCAUGCGAAGGUGUUCAAGCCUGAAAAGUUGCAGACAAUUGUGCCUCAAUAAAAAAAGCCAGUUCUUUGAAAUUGCAGGGCAGUUCUAGCUCUCACUUGUAUUGUAUGUAUCCAAGAGGAAUGUUGUAUUUCUUGUUGCUUUACAACAAUUAAAAAAAUUCAAAGUUGAUUUCUUUUUAAA